Molecule: long non-coding RNA, 4140 nt
Filed under: Nicotiana tabacum (common tobacco)
Lineage: Eukaryota; Viridiplantae; Streptophyta; Magnoliopsida; Solanales; Solanaceae
Description: long non-coding RNA (NTAB_LNC018578)
Source: RNAcentral
GGAAAAAGGAGAAGAAUUACAGACAGAAUACAACACAUUGAAUUUAACCAAAGGUUUGUUAUACAACAAGGGGACUUCUGGCACCGUAAGCGGCAGAACUAUGACCCCUACUGAUAGGAAGGUGCACAUAAACAUCAUGAACUUCCUGUUUACAUACCUCUCCUCUGUCUCUGUCAACCGCAUAGCAAACAUAUACUGUGUCGAUAACGUUAUCCAAAACGUGCACGAAGAAACCAAGAACCACCAUCAGCAGCAGCCAUGCCAGAGCAGCAAUAAGGUAUGCUUCGACACCAAGAUGACUGGCAGCUCUUACCACAACAAAAACCUGGAAGCAAAAAUAACCAAACGUAUUUUUUUAUUUUUUUCUUCCUUUAAGGCGGAUAAUGAAAAGCAUUUAACCAUAUAGCAUAUAUUGUUGAUCAAUACCCAGAACGACUCACCAAUAUUGCAUAUAUUGUUGAGAGAACAAAAAUUAUUCCAGCCAGUAUGCGAGUGGAGACGGUCUCCACAAAAACUGGAGAGAGAAGAUUGCGCUUUAGAAGUUCAUACGUCAUCCUAGCAGAAGUGCAAUAUGCUUCACCAGUUAUAGCUGCAAAGUUUAUGGUGAAUUUAUUCACAAACUCAACUGCUGACAGCAAGGUAUUGGCACAAAAUCGCAGGAUAAGGUUCACAAUUCCAGAAUCUUCUUGUCUUGCAUUAUCAACCAUAGCACGAACCAUACGAACCACACAGAUUAGUAACCCAGAGAAACAUACUGUGCCCGAGGAUGGGCCAAACGCAUGUCUGCGAAUUUCCACAAAAAAAUCAUGAAAAAAGAAACUAGCACCAAAAGAAAGCUCUCGAGAAAACCAGAAAAAUUAGAAAAGAUCCAGGCAGUUAUGCUGAAACAAGAACAUAUAGCAAAGAAGUAUCGACUUCAUCAUUUAGACAUCAAUAACUUCGGCAAAGAUUUCAUCAUUAUAUUUGGAAUUAAAAAAAAAACUUCGCACCAGUCCAAACAAGUUGGGGUCGGAUAUAUGAACCCUUACAUGUUUCUCCAUUUUUAACUAAUCUCAGCCAACAUAACACAAAAUAAAAAUAUAAACAUAAAGUACUAUGAGGCCUAUAUAUUUCUACUGGUACAAAAAUCUCUAAUAGAGAACAAAGACUCCUAGAAAUCAUACAACCUAAAGUAAAUGUAUUAACCAGCUAAUUUCUUUUUUGCUUAAAUGGACAUGUAAACUACCAACUAAUUGCUAUCACUUAUACAUAUAUUUUCCUUCUAUUGUGCCCUAUCUUUCGCAGACUCUGCAUGGACUCCAAGGGAUUGUAAAUCUUUCGAAACAAUUUCCUUUAUGUCUACCUCCUCCCCUUUUAAACGCCUUCAAUUACCAUGGUCUCACACCUACAGACCUGUGAAUCAGGUGGCCGAUGCAGGACAUAACCAAAUCAGCUCAAGCGACCUUCUCAUUUUAAUCUUGUUUAAUUUUGUAUGGCUACACAUCUAUCUUAGCAUCGCAUUUCCGCGAUACUCAUCUUGUGGAUGUGUUGGACUUUAGCAGCCCAACCGUCACUGCCAUACAGCAUUGCUAGUGUUAUAUAACUGUUUUUAUAGAACUACCUUUCAUUUUGGUCUGCAUCCUUCUAUCACCUAAGGCUUCGAUAGCACUUCUAUUUUUCAACCAUCCAAUUUUGAUUUUAUGUGUAACAAUUCGUUUAUCAAGCCAUUUUCCUGGAAUAAUGAGUCUAGAUAUUUGAUUUGCUUGCAUGUAGGCACCACAAACCUGUCUAAUCAACCUCAAUUCCACUCUUCUUAUACUGACUAAACUGCAUAAAUUCAGUCUUACUACUAAUCCUAAAACUCUUACUCUCUAAAAUGUUUCUCCACAGUUCAUACUUUUGGUUGACAACCUCGCUGGCUUCAUCAAUUAGCAUAACAUGUUAGCAAAUAGUAUGCACAACAGAACCUCAUCUUGUAUUGUGUUGAUUAACUCAUCCAUAACUAGAGUAAAUAUUGUCAAUCCUGGCAGUGGCUUAUGCUUGUCUCUCCUCCCUCCCUCCCUCAACUCUCCUUCCACAUGGUUUACGGAAAAAUAAUGCCUAAUAAUAAAACAGCUAAACCAAGGGAUUUUAAAUUAGACUUAAGCUACACUUGGAAAGAGUACUUGUAGGUUUCUUUUUUGAUAAUCGAGAAAUCAGCUCCACUUUAAAUGCCAUACUUGGUUCACCAGCAACAUUCGAACUUGUGAUGCGCACCUACGACACAUCCAACGUCAUACUACCUUUGUCAUUGAAUCAAAGCCCUAUGGACAUGUUUUUCUAUAUUCUUCUUUUUUUCUUUUUUUUCUUUUCCUCCGGACACAUUUUCUGGUACUUAAUCAUACUGAUUUUGAGUAAUGAUUAAAAGCAUGAACAAGUCGAGUGGUUAAGUUCCAGUUAGUCUACAACCAUCCAGUCUAUGCACCACCACUGACUACUUGUACUGUGUUGAUUAACUCAUCCAUAACUAGAACCUCAUCUUGUAUUGUGUUGAUUAACUCAUCCAUAACUAGAGUAAAUAAUGCGAAACCUGGUAGUGGCUUAUGCUUGUCCUUCCUCCCUCCCUCCCUCAACUCUCCUUUCACAUGGUUUGAUUAGAGAGAAAGUAAUGCCUAAUAAUUAAACAGCCAAACCAAGAAAUUUCAGAUUAGAUUUGAGUUACACCUGGAAAGAGCAAUUGUAGGUUUCCUUUUUCUCUUUUGAUAAUCGAGAAGUCCGAUCCACUUUAAAUACCAUACGUGGUUUACCAGCACUAUUCGAACUUGUGAUGCGCACCUACCACACAUCCAACGUGGUACUACCUUUGCCACUUUGCCGUUGAACCAAAGCCCUAGGGACAUGUUUUUUCCUAUAUUCUUUUUUUUUAAUCCUCCGGAUGCACUUGUUGGUACUUAAUCAUACUGAUAGCUGAGUAAUGAUUGAAAGCAUGAAAAAGUCGAAUGGUUGAGUUCCAGUUAGUCUAGGACCAUCUAGUCAAUGCACCACCACUGACUACUGUCAUUCGUUACUGAGGCUUUAUGCCUAUGCCAAAGGGAAUAAAACUGCCUAAAAUGCAAGGGGCCAGCAAUGAAAUCCAGACAUACUACAAAUACCCUUCUGCUUUCCAGGAUCAGUUGCAGUGUAGAACUAUAACAGAAACAUAGCCAUUGCAUGCAAGAAGAAGGACAAUAAGGUGCUCUCUACAGUUUUUAUUUUUCUGCCAUCAUUUGCAUAGGUAAUUAAGAAUAAGCUGAUACAAUGAUAGGCACUUAACAAUCGAAGGUAAGAGUAUUCUGUUAUCACAGAAAUUUGCUGCAAAAGAAUAAGCUCAUACAAAGAUAGGAGCUUUAUAAUCAAAGUUAAGAAUAUUCUGCUAUCGUUUGCAUAGAUAAUUAGCUAUAAGAGAAUAGGCUCAUACCAAAAUAGGCACUCCACCAUCGAAGUUAAAGAGUAUGAACUAACCUCAAAGCACUUCUCAUAGACUUUUUGGGACCUGAUUCAUCCUUGGAGAAAUACCAUUGUGCAAUUGUCCCGCUUAUCACAUAAACUUGUGCCUCAAUCAUCGCCGUCGCAGACCAAAGCAUUGUUAGAAUAGCAAAAGUAUAAUAAGCAGGAACCCAUUUAUCCUGUUUCCACACACAAUAGAAAUCCCCAUUCUUUUCCUUAGGUACAACCUCUCCAUUAAACCUAGCAAAAACCAAGAAAACAACAAUGGGAGCAUAAUACACUAACAGUCCUAAAGUCAAUGUUGGAAGCACUCCAAACAACCCUAAAUUCCUAGAAAGGGCAUAAGAAGCAACCCCAAUAAUCUUAAUAGUCAACUCAAUCCUAUGCCAAUUAGCUACAAAAAUCCAAACAAGAAGCCCAAUUAACAACAACACAAAAACAAGCACCAAAAUCCUAUAAGCUAAAGGGAAAUCUUCACUACAUUUGGAGCUAACAGUACAAGCAACAAACCAGUAAAUAUCAAGAAACACAGGUACAAUUACAAAAAAGGGAAGUGAAGCAUAGACUAUCUGCUUUGUAUAACGCUUGAGCAAGAAAAGCACAAACAACACAAAGGGUAUGCUUAAAAUUAAAGUAACUACAAGGGUCCAAAUCAAACUCUUCAAAAAACUAGAAUCAGAAGAGUAAAGUUCAAAA